Molecule: long non-coding RNA, 311 nt
Organism: Sapajus apella (tufted capuchin)
Lineage: Eukaryota; Metazoa; Chordata; Mammalia; Primates; Cebidae
Exons: 3
Source: RefSeq, a predicted model, not a curated record
AUCCUGGGAAGAGGAAGAAGACCUGGAGGAGCAAAGCCUCUAUAAACUAUCCCAGGAGAGGGUGAGAAGCUGGAUUCUGGGGAGCAUCUUCAGGCUCACUGAAGACGACCCCCAAGGUAGGGAACUACUUUCCAGGUAGGACCUGAUGGGAAAGGGUUCCUGAGAGCCUUCAGGUUGUCCCCGCUGCUUGAGGGGCUGAAGAAGGGAGUAUGAAAUCAGAAAGAAAAUGAAAAUGUGUGUGAGGUUUGGUUUGUUAUUUUCAAAGUUUAUUGUCAUAAAGGUAGGAAUUGUCUCUCUGGGCUAUGAGGGUG